This is a long non-coding RNA of Harpia harpyja (harpy eagle), 316 nucleotides long. RefSeq lists it as uncharacterized. NCBI's taxonomy places the organism in Eukaryota, Metazoa, Chordata, Aves, Accipitriformes, Accipitridae. The transcript is spliced from 3 exons. The record is from RefSeq and is a predicted model, not a curated record.
AAGGUGACCAAGUGAACUAGAAACAUUAUCUCUUCAGGAAUGGGAAUGUAGGAUUCCAUAUUUCUACUGUUCUUCCAGAAAAGAGUGAAACAUUUCUAGAAAAGAGUUACUUUUUAAGUGCUGAAUGGAAACCACAUGAAGAGACAGAUAUAAAAGUUCUUAAUGCAAAUCUGCAAUGCUGUUUUUGCUGACUUUUUUUCCCCCUCCUGCUUUCAUGUCCAGCCAGAUUACCUGUGAAAACAGAAGCAGAUGGUGGAUAGCAGAAGGGAUGUUCUAAGUAUGGUGGUGUCUGUGGUGUCACAUGAUACAUGAAUUU